GUCUACGGCCACGCCACCCUGAACAAGCCCGAUGUCUGACUUCGGAAGCUGAGCAGGGUCGGGCCUGGUUAGUACUUGGAUGGGAGACCACCUAGGAAGACCAGGUGCUGUAGGUG
RNAcentral lists this ribosomal RNA (116 nucleotides) under Pteropus alecto (black flying fox). Lineage: Eukaryota; Metazoa; Chordata; Mammalia; Chiroptera; Pteropodidae. The record is from RNAcentral.